UAUAAUUUGGGACUUAAAGAUUUUGAGCAUUUCUUAAUCUGAUUUGCAGGUGAUGAUCUGCUGCCAGAAUAAAUAAAUCUUAGGAAGUGCCAAGACUGCUCAGCCAUUUGCUGCGAUACCACUCCCACAUAAGGAACCUGUAUCAUCACCUUUUUUCAAGCAGCUUCUCCACCGUGAAUCCAGCAGCUGUGAAAUUUAAAGUUAAGUAUCUUCAGGGGUUCUGAGACAACGCUUGAAG
Molecule: long non-coding RNA, 238 nt
Filed under: Anser brachyrhynchus (Pink-footed goose)
Lineage: Eukaryota; Metazoa; Chordata; Aves; Anseriformes; Anatidae
Description: lncRNA (ENSABRG00000022070.1)
Source: RNAcentral